AUAAUGCACCUGUUUAUCCCCCAGGGCUUACUAUCGAGACUGCAAAGUAUGUUGGUUGAUGUCUUUGACACACACACACACACACACACACACACACACACACACACACACACACACACACACACACACACACACACACACACACACACACACACACACACACACACGCUUUAAACUUUAAUUUUCUGAGCUACUACACAAUAAUAAUAAUAAUAUAAUAAUAAUAAUCAAAUAAAUUUUCCUUUAAUUAUCUUUCUCCAAUCUGUAACAAAGUCAUUUUCUUUGGGUCAGAAUAUUUGCUGCCCUGUUUGUAUUAAUUUAUUUAACCAGUUUUUCCCAUUUCUUUUAAUAUAUCAUGUGAAAUAUUCUUAAAAACAACAUCUCACACUUUAUGCAUCAUAGUAUUGCAACAUCUGUCAUGGAGAAUGUUGUGUGUCCUGUUACUUUAGUCGCUUCUUGUGCUUCAUUCCUGCAUAAUUCUUAGACACUCUACACCUCUACACAGUGAGAGCAUCUAUGGUUUACAGGGUGAAGCAAGUAUUUCAGUGAGACUGUGGGUGGAGUGAAUAAUUCUGCUGACAGAAAACCACUCUUCAUCUUAUGUUAGACAAACAUUCACUAUGAUGCUCUCCUUGCUGCUGCUGAUACUGCUGUUGGGCUCCAACUGCAAAGCGUCCUUCAUGGGAACAGUUGUCACCUAUUAUGCAAAAACUACAACGUCAAAUAAAACUGCUGCAGUGGUUUACACUCAGGACACCUAUGAGGGCCCGACCUCGCCAGUCUCGUGGUUAUGCAACUCUAAGGACUGUGGCUCAGCGAUCACAAAUUCAAACCACCAUACCGUGAAUUUUUUGGGAAAUUUGUAUGAGCAGCAGUACAUUUGGUAUAUGGUUCCGAACAGUGACCUUUUUCAGAUGUGGUUAUAUGGGCCCUAUUCACCAUGGGUGAGUAAUGUUGAUGGUGGUAGAAUUGGUCAAGCUGUGGCUGUGAUUGAUCUGAGAAAACGCUCUGACACCAACAAAGCCAACUCAUCACCUCAGACUGCAAUCAUACCUCUGAGAGUUCCAUCAAACUGUCAGAGAGACUUUAACCUCUUGGCCUUUGACCCUGAUGGAGACGAUGUAAGAUGCAGAUAUGGAAAUGCAUCACUGUCAGAGAGUUACACCUACAAAAAGCCACCUUUUUUCAACCUCUCAUCAUCCUGUACGUUGUCAUUCAGCCCAACAAGCAGCAGUAAGGAAGGAGCCUAUGUUGUUCAGAUGGUGAUGGAGGACUUUCCAAAGGAGAAUAUCACCCUGACUCAAACUAAUGGUUCACAGGAGGUGAAAACCAACAAUGACGCCAUCAGCAAGAUUCCAGUCCAGUUUGUUGUAAGAGUGGAUCCUGCAGUGCCAUCAUGCACAGAGGGACUUUAUCUGCCCAGGAUUCUGACUCCAAUCCCAGAUAGACUGUACACGAUUGUCAAUCAGCCUGUGCUAAUUAAUAUCACAGCAGAGGCUCUUAAUGCUUCGCUCUCACAGGUGCUGUACAGUGGCCCGUCCACCAUAAACCUAAACAGGGUAUUACCAGGACAGUACGUCAUGAGUUGGACUCCACCUGAAGAUAACGGAGGAGAAAGCCAUCCCAUCUGCUUUGUUGUCGAGGCAGAUAAUGUUCUACCCAAGUAUCACUCUGAGCUUCGAUGUGUCAUUGUUACUGUUGGCAAUGCUACAGCUACAGCUACAGCUACAAUCAACAACUCAAAUAAAGCUGUUGCUCGCUUGAUAAUGAGAGUGUCUUCUUCGUUGCCACUAGACGAUAUCAAGAAUAUCAUUACACAGCUGAUCAAAGAUGAACUGACUAUAUUAGGGUUAUCAGAUGUGGCAUUGGACUUGAACAUUGUGGCAAACACAACAAACACUGGUGGUUGAUUCGUUUUUUUUCAGUGAACUAAUUUCAGUUUUUAUUAUGUUUUUAAUUAGUGGAAUUUUGGGCCACCACUUCCACAAUCUUGGUUAAAGCGAAUGGGAUUACCUGUUGUUUUUUAUAUUUUUUUAUGGUAAUUGGCUGGAGAAACACACCUGGUUUUCAGACAUUGAAACUUGGGGUUAUAUAAUUAGUGGCAACUGAUCUACCGCUGUCACUUUUGCACCUGUAAUAAAAUUAUAAUAAAUCCAGUAACUGCCUUGAAC
Betta splendens (Siamese fighting fish) is the source of this 2171-nucleotide long non-coding RNA. Ensembl lists it as uncharacterized. The record is from Ensembl. NCBI's taxonomy places the organism in Eukaryota, Metazoa, Chordata, Actinopteri, Anabantiformes, Osphronemidae.